RNAcentral lists this long non-coding RNA (9793 nucleotides) under Sorghum bicolor (sorghum). RNAcentral describes it as "long non-coding RNA (SBIC_LNC008388)". The record is from RNAcentral. Lineage: Eukaryota; Viridiplantae; Streptophyta; Magnoliopsida; Poales; Poaceae.
ACUUUGAUUCUGUAGAAGAGGUAUGCCUCCAGGGGCUGGUGGGGGUCUGCUUAUAUAGUCCAGGAAGAGUAUCCCCCAAGAAAUCUAGGAAGAGUAGCUCCCAAGAAAUCUAGGAAGAGUAGCUCCCAAGGAAUUUCCACGUUAUUCUCCACCAUCCGAUCAAACCGACCUUAAUCGUGUGAUUUUGCUUGAUCCUUAGAGUCGGUGGAGCAUGAUCCGCGAAGUUGAAGCUGAUUGGUUCCUGUAGCUGGGCGGGCGCCCAAGGAGGGAGGGCGGGCGCCCUGCCACCAGGCCCGAUCGGCCUCCCGUUCGUUCCCGUGGCUUCUGGAGUCUUCUAGAUGGUAGAAAAUUGCGCGGCACGUUAAUAUCUCUAUGUAAACCCGACGUGUGGGCCUUUCUUCCGUAUUUCCUGAUAACCCCCUACAGAAAUAGACAAACACCAAUACUCAUGGAAUUCUGUCAGAUAAAACCCUAAGUCUAGGUGUUGGUUGCAUUUGGAUCCUUUUCUAUGAUUAGUUGAUGGUUAAAUGUGAGCAUUAAGGACUGUCAACAAGCUCCCCCAAGCUUAACCUUUGCUCGUCCUGAGCAAAGAUGGACUCAAGAGUUUCUGCAGUGGUUUUAUGCUUUAAAGAUAUACAUGCGUUCGAACAAGAUCUCAUCUCUGGGUUAGGGUAAACUGUUAAGAUUUAAACUUACUCAUAUUACCUUCCACCAUGGGGCUUGUAACCGUCACUUGUGUCUUGAGCAGUUAAAAGAUAAAACGGUCUAGUCAAUCGCCAUGUCUCAUGUUCUUCGAUUAACUAUAGCUCUGGAGUUUUUGCAGAUUUUCAAAUAAAACUCAGAGAUUCCUUGUAUGACUCUCUCUAGUCUCUCUUUUGUGGUAUUUCUGGAUCCUUACCAAGGCAGUAAUGGUGUAUGCCUUCUCUCAAAGCAUGUGGUAUUUUUGGUAUAAGGCAUAGUGGCAUUGCCUUCUCUCUCACCCUACUCUAAUAAGGUUUUGAUAUCUGGAGCUCAUAGGUGGGAGACAGCUAAUACAUACAAGACAUUUAUUGCAUAGUCAAACCAUGGAUCUAGAAGAACAAGUCAAUAAGUCAAAUCAAGAUGUGCAUGUGUGGUGAAUGAAUGGUGAUAACAAUGGUGAUGAUGGUGAUAACAAUGGUGAAAGUCUAAUUCUACUUGUGCUCUUUUGAGGGGAUACAUACCUUCCUUGCUCUUUUGAAACUUUUGGAGAGAAUGAGAUGCUCUAUAUUUUCUUUUUCUUUUCUCUCAGGUGGGUAUCUUGUACCCCUAAUUCUACUGUCAGACACUUGUCCAUUUUUACCUCUCGUCUCACUUUUUCUUUUCUUUUGAGGUUCCGGGCACUUGCCCCUUUUUAUUUCUUCGUAUCUUUUUUUCUUCUUUUUUUAGAGCACUCAUCUCUUGAAAUAAUGUAGCAAGUGGCAGUAACCAAGAUAACUUGAGCAUUUAUUUCAUAGGGGAAAACAGAAAUGUUUUUGGCUAUUCUCUCCCGGAUUAGGAGUAGAAUAUUUUUAGGUGAUUCUGGAGAUAGAAAUGGGUGGAUAUAUGUGGAUGCGUACUUCCAGAGUAGAAGCAGCAUGUAUGAGUGAACGUGCAAGUGAAUCUUGAUUUAACCACAUGACAAGCUCCUAAGGGUCUACACAGCUUGACCACACUCAAUGCUCAUAAGCAGUAAAGUAAAUGUACGGUUCAAAGUCUAGCAAGCAUGUAUAUAUGGCUGUGGUAGGAAUUUAAACUCUCAUCAUACAGGAACUCAUCAUGCAACAUUUUAAAGAUUUUCAAAGAUAAAGUUCUCCAGAAUUCUAGCAUCUCUAGGAACAGAUAAAUAGCAGCUCAACCUUCCCAUAUCAUAUCCAUUAACGACUUAGACUUCAGAUCAAGUACUCUCCCCACAAGUUCAGGUUUAGAGCAAAUCUUAAUUAUUACCAGUCAUGCCUAAACUUGUGAGAGAUUUCAAUUUUGAGAACUAGCCAUGGCAGAGCAACAAUUCAUCAUUUUCAUGUGAGAGCUUAUCAUGAGGGUUCAUAGCAAACUUUAUUUAUUUAUUUAUUUAGCAAACUAAGCAAAGAUAUAUAUAAGCACAAAAUCUUUAUUUGGGUUUUUAUGAUUAUGCAUCUUUUUAUUAUUUGAGUAAAGUAUAAACGUGAGUAGAAACACUUAGCUGGAUAAAUGGGGGUGCUCUCCCCCAAGCUGGAUUUUGACGAAGUUUCUUCUAAUGUAGCUAGCAGGUGGCGGAGGUGUAUUUGAAUGUCAGCAGCACCCUGACAGUGAUUAGGAUGUCCUCCGUCUCCUAGUCUUCUUUGAUCCUUGAAUUCUGUGGAGCUCAAAUAUACAACAAAACUUUGUGGAACUCGUUAAGUGUUAGCAUAAAUAUCUAGCCUUUAUCAUGUUGAGCCUCCUUAAUAAAUGUUACUCUCUUUAGUAGGAUCACAAUCUUAUUUAUAUUUUCAUUUUUAUAGGACAGGAAUAUAUAUUUAUUUUUACGCCACCACAGUGAAUGUACUUAUGGGUUUUAUGCCAUGAGCAUACUCACAUGGGGCUUACUAUUUUUAUCAUUUUUAUUUUCUUUUCAAGAUGAUAUAAACCUGAUUAACUAAGCAAACUAUUUUAAUAAUUAAAAGGAAAAAGAUAACUACCAAGUUUACCUCCUAGCAAGGCGUUUGGUGUUUUUAUGUCCUCCGAAUAGGACUCUCCGUUUUCUCAGUUGUCCUGGGAGUCACUGGGUGGCGUAGUCGGUGGUUCCGGCAGCGCCUCCUCUUCGUGUAUAACUAUCUUCUCUCUCCACACCUGACUUGGUGCUACGGUCUGCUCAUGAAAGUUCUGUUCAAGUUGUAUGUCUUCAGACCUUACCACUUCUUCUUCGUAGUCUGCCCAUCCAUCCUUUAUGAUUUUCCUCAUCUAGUUACGGUUGUGUCGUCUUCUUCUUGUCCUGACCUGCUUACAGUCUUCAACUAUAUAGUUAGGGUCAGUAAAAUAGUGGCGUACCUUCUCAGAGGGGAAAUGCAUGUGGACUUCUCCAGUUCCAAUGUAGAUGAUUGCUUUAACGGUGCUGAGGAACAGUCUUCCAAGGAUGAUGGUUGGAUCGUACUUGUCUUCAAUCUUUCGGAAUGUCUGAUCUGCCAUCUGGAGCUGAAUGUAUGUCGGUUUCAGGGGCAUGGUUCUGAAUAGGAGCUGAUAGGUGACUGGAUCGUCCUUUUUGGUCAGGAACGGUGACUUAAAUCGACGAUCUUGACCUCCUUGAACUGUAGUGACCAUCUUAGCUGACUCGGUCCACAUUUGCUUGUUCCUGUUCCUCCUGUUGGUCCUCUUCCUUGGUUCAUGUCGGGAUUGCUCUGAGAUUUGUAUAGUCUUGUUCUUGCAGGAAAACAUCUCCUUCCUUCCCUUGAUGUAGAAACUGAUCUUGGCAGCACUAGCGUAGAUGACAGCUCCUGAGGUAUUUAGGAAUGGCCUCCCCUGGGCAUAAUGUUGACGCUGGAGCCAAAGUCGCAGAGUGCUUCUAGGAAGUCCACCAUGCCGAUGGAGAUCAGGAUGACGGGGCGUCCUGGGUUGUCUCUCUUGAUCGGCAGAAGGUCAGUAAUUAUUUCCACAACGGGGUUGCUCCAGUAGUUACGUCCUCAAGCAUCUCAAGGCAGUGAUUGCCUGAGAGUCUAGUAUCUCCAGUGUGUUUGUGCUCGUAAAUCUAGGUUCUUCACUAGGUGGAGUCUGGAGUUGUAAAAGUCCUUCAUAUUUUACUCGAAGUGUACCUGCUCAUAGACAAGGCAGAGAUCAAGUGCAUGGGCCCUGUUGGUGGAAAACACCAACAUAACCAAAAGUGUAUUUGUUCUCUCUAACCUUAAGCAUAGUGAGCAAGACAAAGUUGAUGGAUAAUAAGAUCAUGAGUGUAGCAUUUAAAACAUUUGUCAGAUCAGAUCACUCAACCUAAUGGAAAGAUAAUCUAUCUAUACUUAUGUUGUUUUUUUUAAAUAUAUCUUCCAAAGAUUGAGUGUGCAACAUUUUAGCUCAUAUGAUUAAUAGUGUGGGAUCACAAAGGUGGAAGGACUAAACAUGUUGAAUCGACCGGGUUGGUUAAUCUAAAGUUGUAAAUCAUACAUGUUUGUCUCUUUUAUUCAUGUGAACGCCAAAACCAAUGAGAAGCUUAUAAAAAGUGAUAGUCAAGUACCUUAAGAUGUUACCUUACUUGAAGAGUGAUGGUACAGUAUCACCUUAUGGAAGCUUUCCUUUCUUAGCGGUUGUGCAUCGUGCUUGUGGCACCCUCCAUGGAUCAUCUCUUGUGUGCUAUGUCUUCCUUGUGUAAAUUGUUAAACUUCAUGUGUGUCUCUCUUUGUCUCCAAUGUGAGUUUAUCUCAGGACUUCCCAGGUCGAUAUUGAAAGUUUUCCUGCAGGGGUUAGUCCAACAAAAUAUACCAAUGUCUACACAAGCAGUUUUUAGUUCAAUAACCAAACUAGACUCCAUGUCUAAUUAGAUUAAGGAAGGCUGUUUAACCUAAGCACCAUGCUUAAUUUAAAAACCAAUAGAAGUAUGUACAGUACUUCCAAACUAACACUUACUAGGAUAAACAAAGGUAGCGUGAUGGCUUUUAUAGAGAUCUACUCAAGUGGAGAUGAAGUAGUGUGAUUACUAUUUAACAAAUUGAGCAUGUCUCAAAGGUAGGGACAACCAACAUAGCAACAUGGCAAAUGAUGUUUUUAUAUAAAGUACUCCCCCAAGCUUGAAUUUUGCAAAAUUCAAGUUUGGAUGAAUUUAAUUCAAUGUUGUAUGAUGAUUGGUUGUACAUACCUUGUGCUUGUCAUUCAUCUGAUCUUCUUGCUCUAAUCCUAGAAAGGUUAGUGACAAGAAUACCCGAAAGAUUUUUUUUACAAUUAUCCUUAUAUGCUCAAUACACAAGGUAAUGUUGCAAAUAAUUAAAAGCUCAUGUUACGAUCUGAUCAGUGCUUGUUUUAGGACAUUAAGCUUGUCCUUGGGAAACCAUCAAUUUAUGUCGGCGAAGUGGUUUCCCCUCCAAUGCUGACCUAUAUCAAGAUCAACUCAACAAGAUCUGCAAUAUUUAAUAUAGACAUAUGCAUCGACAACCGCCCUUUUAAAGUUUUUAUAAAUACAAAGGAUGAGGGGGAUGGAGAUCUCGAAUGUGGUGAUGUUGGAGAGACCAAUAGAUUGUGAAGAUGUUGCAUAUGAGCAUGGAGUAAAUGGAGUGGCUAUGAAAUAAAUUCCAUGCUCAUUAAUGCUUAGAGUGAAAUCCAUGUGGUAUGGUGAAAAUGGUAAGGUGAGUGUGGUAAAAAAAGGAAAAGAAAAAGGAUACACGGACGACUUGGUUCGAAACUAGCACAGCUACCGUUCCCCGGCAGCGGCGCCAGAAAGCUUGUUGGGUAUUUUAAACGCAAACAGAAAAAUCCGCAAGCGCACGGAUACCGAUGUAGCCUUUGUUGACACUUGCUAACAACACUUGAAUAUAGGUUGUCAUCCCCAGCAUGGCACUAGAGUGUACUAUGGUAUUUAUACGCACACAGAUAAUCCGCAAGCGCACGGAUACCGUUGUAGCUUUUACCCAAUUAAAGGUUUUAUCGUAUCCACAGGGAAACGGGAGAACUGAUCUACGCUCUAACUUAACCAAGAUAAGUAAAUAGGUGUAAAUAGGAAAGAUGGUAGAAUCGAAUAAGAACAAAAUUAAGGGUAAGAUAACAGUGAGUGAUAAUAUGGGAAUAGAGAGUAGAGCAAUUCUAGUAUAUGGGUGAUGGUAGCAGAAUAGAGAGUAUAACUAUGGUUUCUCUACUUCAAACAGGUAUGUCUAUGUCUGGGACGAACCACGUGAUAAGAAUACACCACAAAGGAUGCUUAUCCAUAGGCCGAUAAACCCUACCCGUCCUGCUAACGAGAGGUGGACUACAGGGGACCAACGUAACUGUCACCUACGCGGCCUACCACACGAUCCAGCUAGACAGGGGAUAUCCACAAGUAAUCUAGGUCUAAGCACCACGCUUACACCUAUACUACAACUCUAACCUAUAGGGUCCUAUAGAUUAGAAGUACUCAAAAUAGUUGUGAACCAGAACAUACAUGAUUAGUAAUUGCAUAAUGAAUUAGAAGUAGAUUACCAGAGUCAUCCCAUGAGCAAGCUUGAUUAGAGCUUGAUCAUGACGAAGUACAACCGGAGAAAGAACCGACAGACCGGCCUUUCCUCUAAUUCUCCUUCGCUCUCCAUCUCGCUACUAUCUAGAUCUACUCUAGUUUAGAGAAGAGAGGAGAGCUCUCAUCUCUAAACCCUAGCUUUUGCUCUGUCUAUGAAUAAUGAAUAAUGAUCAAGGGGUGCCUCCACCAAGGGCCAGGGGGUCUGGUUUUAUAGUCCCCUCAAGUGAACCUGGGCCGUUGGAUCAAACCAACAUUGAUUGAACGGUUAUCCUUGAUCCUUUAGGUCGGUGGAACAUCAUCCUCCCGUUCGUUCCCGUGGCUUCUGGAGUCUUCUAGAUGAUAGAAAAUUGCGCGGCACGUUAAUAUCUCUAUGUAAACCCGACGUGUGGGCCUUUCCUCCAUAUUUCCUGAUAACCCCCUGUAGAAAUAGACAAACACCAAAACUCGUGGAAUUUUGUCAGAUAAAACCCUAAGUCUAGGUGUUGGUUGCAUUUGGAUCCUUUUAUUUAUUUAUUUGAUGAUUAUAUUUGGUGCUUAAGGACUGUCAACAACUCCCCCAAGCUUACCUCUUGCUCGUCCCUGAGCAAGGAUGGACUCAAGAGUUUCUGCAGUGGUUUUAUGCCUUAAAGGUACACAUGCAUUUAAACAAGAUCUCAUCUCUAGGUUAGGGUAAACUGUUAAGAUUUAAACUUACUCAUAUUACCUUCCACCAUGGGGCUUGCAACAGUCACUUGUGUCUUGAGCAGUUAAAAGAUAGAACGGUCAAGUCAAGCACCAUGUCUCUUAUUCUUUGAUCAACUAUAGCUCUGGAGUUUUUGCAGAUUUUCAAAUAAAACUCAGAGAUUCCUUGUAUGACUCUCUCUAGUCUCUCUUUUGUGGUAUUUCUGGAUCCUUACCAAGGCAGUGAUGAUAUAUGUCUUCUCUCAAUGUAUGUGGUAUUUAUGGUAUGAGGCAUAAUGAUAUUGCCUUCUCUCUCACUCUACUCUAACAAGGUUUUGAUAUCUGGAGCUCAUAGGUGGGAGACAGCUAAUACAUACUUACAAGACAUUUAUUACAUAGUCAAACCAUGGAUCCAGAGAAAAAAGUCAAUAAGUCAAAUCAAGAUGUGCAUGUGUGGCGAAUGAAUGGUGAUAAUGGUGAAAACAAUGGUGAAAGUCUAAUUCUACUUUUGCUCUUUUGAGGGGAUACAUACCUUUCUUGCACUUUGAAGCUUUUUGAAAGGAAUGAGAUGCUCUAUAUUUUCUUUUUCUUUUCUCUCAGGUGGGUAUCUUGUACCCCUAAUUCUACUGUCGGACACUUGUCCAUUUUUACCUCUCGUCUCACUUUUUCUUUUCUUCGAGGUUUCGGGCACUUGCCCCUUUUUAUUUCCUCGUAUUCUUUUUCUCUUUUUUUUCUUCUUUUUUUAGAGCACUCACCCUCCUAGAAUAAUGUAGCAAGUGGUAGUAACCAAAAUAUCUGGAGCAUUUAUUUCAUGGAGAAUAACAGGGAUAGGAUAAUGUUUUUGGCUAUUCUCUCAUGGAUAGGAGUAGAAUAAUUUUGGGUGAAUUUGGAGAUGAAAAUGAGUCGAUGUAUGUGGAUGCGUACUUCCGGAGUAGAAGCAGCAUGUAUGAGUGAACGUGCAAGUGAAUCUUGAUUUUAACCGCAUGACAAGCUCCUAAGGGUCUACACAGCUUGACCACACUCAAUGCUCAUAAGCAGUAAAAAGUAAAUGUAUGGUUCAUAGUCUAGCAAGCAUGUAUAUAUAGCUGUGGUAGGAUUUUAAACUCUCAUCAUACAGGAACUCAUCAUGCAACAUUUUAAAUAUUUUCAAAGAUAAAAUUCUCCAGAAUUCUAGCAUCUCUAGGAACAGAUAAAUAGCAGCUCAACCUUCCCAUAUCAUAUCCGUUAACGACUUAGACUUUAGAUCAAGUACUCUUCCCACAAGUUCCGGUUUAGAGCAAAUCUUAAUUCAUAACAGUCAUACCUAAACUUGAGAGAGAUUUCACUUUUGAGAACUAGUCAGGGCAGAGCAACUAUUCAUCAUUUUCAUGUGAGAGCUUAUCAUGAGGGUUCAUAGCAAGCUUUAUUUAUUUAUUUAUUUAGCAAACUAAGCAAAGAUAUAUAAGCAUAAAAUCUUUAUUUGGGUUUUUAUGAUUAUGCAUCUUUUUAUUAUUUGAUUAAAGUAUAAACGUGAGUAGAAACACUUAGCUGGAUAAAUGGGGGUGCUCUCCCCCAAGCUGGAUUUUGACGUAAUUUUUUUGAUGUAGCUAGCAGGUGGCGGAGGUGUAUUUGAAUGUCGGCAGCACACUGACAGCGAUUAAAAUGUCCUUCAUCUGCUAGUCUUCUUUGAUCCUUGAAUUCUGUGGAGCUCAAAUAGACAACAAAGCUUUGUGGAUCUGGUUAAGUGUUAGCAUAAAAUCUCUUUGCCUUUAUCAUGUUGAGCUUCCUCUAAUAAAUAUUACUCUCUUUGGUAGGAUCAUAAAUUUAUUUUUAUAUUUUCAUUUCUAUAGGUCAAGAAUAUAUUUAUUUUAUUUUUACGCCACCACAGUGAAUGUACUUAUGGGUUUCAUGCCACGAGCAUACUCACAUAGGGCUUAGUAUUUUUUUAACAUUUUUAUUUUCUUUUCAAGAUAGCAUGAUUAACUAAUAAGCUAUUUAAGGAGAGUAAGUAAUUAAAGGGAAAAGGGAAUGCAGAAAGGAAUAAUAUGGAUAACUACCGAUUUUACCUUUCGGCAAGGAUUCACUGGUUUAAGUCUUCUGAACAAGACUUCUCACCGUGUUCAUUCUUCAGGUGCGUCAUUUGAUUUAGGUGUGGACCUUGACAUCUGCACCUCUUAAUACGGUGUCACCCAUGUUCUUCGUUUGCCCAGUAGUUCGAAGUGCGGUGUUGGCAGUAUCUUGCUCAGUGUGUUUGUGCUCGUAGUGUACCUGCUCAUAGAGACAAGGCAGAGAUCAAGUGCAUGGGCCCUGUUGGUGGAAAACACCAACAGAAUCAAAAGUGUAUUUGUUCUUCUCUCACCUUAAGCAUGGUGAGCAAGACAAAGUUGAUGAAUGAUAUGUUCAUGAGUGUAGCAUUUAAAACAUUUGCCGGAUCAGAUCGCUCAACCUAAUGGAAAGAUAAUCUAUCUAUAUAUAUAUGUCUUUUUCUUUAUAUCUUCCCAAAGAUUAAAUGUGCAACAUUUUAGCUCAUAUGACUAGGAGUGUGGGGAUCAUGGAGGUAGUACUAGGAACAAAGAUUAAAGGACUAAACAUGCUGAAUCAGUUGGGUUGGUUAAUUUGGAGUUAUAAAUCAUACAUGUUUGUCUCUUUAUUUAUGUGAACGCCAGAACCAAAGAGAAGCUUAUAAAAGUGAUAGUCAGAUAUCUUAAGAUGUUACCUUACUUGAAGAGUGAUGGUAUAGUAUCACCUUGUGGAAGCUUUCCUUUUGUAGUGGUUGUGUAUCUUGUUUAUGGACUUUGUCUCCUUCCAUGGAUCAUCUCUCUAUGGUGAAUGAGCUAUGUCCUUCUUGUGCAAAUUGUUAAACUUCAUGUGUUACUCUCUUCAUCUCCGAUGUGAGUUUAUCUCAGGACUUCCCAGGUUGAUAGUGAAAGUUUUCCUUUAGGGGUUAGUCCGACAAAAUAUACCAAUAUCUACUCAAGCAGUUUUUAGUUCAGUAACCAAACUAGACUCCAU